UAGUAACUGCGAGUGAAGAGGGAAAAGCUCAAAUUUAAAAUCUGGCGGGCUCUGCUCGUCCGAGUUGUAAUCUGGAGAAGCGUUUUCCGCGUCGGACCGUGCAUAAGUCUCCUGGAACGGAGCGUCAUAGAGGGUGAGAAUCCCGUCCAUGGCACGGACCACCGAUGCUUUGUGAUACGUUUUCAAAGAGUCGAGUUGUUUGGGAAUGCAGCUCAAAACGGGUGGUAAAUUCCAUCUAAAGCUAAAUAUUGGCGAGAGACCGAUAGCGAACAAGUACCGUGAGGGAAAGAUGAAAAGCACUUUGGAAAGAGAGUUAAACAGUACGUGAAAUUGUUGAAAGGGAAACGCUUGAAGUCAGUCGCGUCCGACGGAACUCAGCCUUGCUUCGGCCUGGUGUACUUUCUGUCGGACGGGUCAACAUCAGUUUUGGCCGGUGGAAAAAGGCAGGGGGAAUGUAGCGCCGUUUCGGCGGCGUGUUAUAGCCCCUUGCUGGAUGCAUCGGUCGGGACUGAGGACCGCAGCACGCCUUUUUGGCCGGGGGCUUCGCCCUACGUACCGUGCUUAGGAUGUUGGCAUAAUGGCUUUAAGCGACCCGUCUUGAAACACGGACCAAGGAGUCCAACAUGCUUGCGAGUGUUCGGGUGGAAAACCCUUGCGCGCAAUGAAAGUAACAGUUGGGAACCUCCGCAAGGGGGUGCACCGACGCCCGGCCCUGACGUUCUCUGACGGUGCUGCGGUAGAGCAAGUAUGCUGGGACCCGAAAGAUGGUGAACUAUGCCUGAAUAGGGCGAAGCCAGAGGAAACUCUGGUGGAGGCUCGUAGCGAUUCUGACGUGCAAAUCGAUCGUC
Molecule: ribosomal RNA, 848 nt
Filed under: Phellinus sp. OKM-4173
Lineage: Eukaryota; Fungi; Basidiomycota; Agaricomycetes; Hymenochaetales; Hymenochaetaceae
Description: eukaryotic LSU rRNA
Rfam family: Eukaryotic large subunit ribosomal RNA
Source: RNAcentral